AGAGCAUGGAAAUACCCCAGCUACCCUGCUUUUGAAACAGAAUCCUAUUUGGAAGGCAGACAUGUGGCCCAUCUCUGUAGCCAUCACUGAGAAAUCUGGAUUUUCAAGGUCCUUUCUCUCUGUUGCCCAGGCUGGAGUUUAGCGACCCAGUCAUGGCUCACUGACUGCAGCCUCAACCUCCAGGGCUCAAGUGAUCCUUUAAUCUCAGCCUCCUCAGUAGCUGAGACUACAGGCUCCUCCAGAUCUGCCUCCUGCUGACCUUGUACCCAGCUGCAGCGACACCGAGCUCCUCACAGCUUCCCAAAGUGGGCUGGACCCUCUCAUGACAGGGUCAUCGCACAGGCUCCCUCUGUGGGGGAACACAACGGGAGUCAUUGAAACACCAGUUUCUUCAGGAAGCCUAUUCUGAUCCUUGGUACUCCAAGCAGCUGUUGUCAAUGCCUACCCCAGGCUGCUAGGAAAUCCUUUCCACUCGGAACUGAGACCUAAAACUGGAAACUAGGCUGCAGGACCACCUGGGUACGUGUGAAUUACAGAGGUUCAUGCAUUUCCAAAUAGGGGGCAUGAGAACUGGGGCGUAAGAUGAUGAGCAACAGAAAAGACAACGCCGAGCCCCGGAAUGUGAACUCAGAACUCUUUACAUGUUUGAUUCUCCAAAUGGUCUAGGGCAGGGGGACUUCAGGGCCUUGGCAGCGGAACGUGGUCGCGUAGAUGUUUAUCUGAUUUUCUGCUGCGCUGCUGCUCAACAGCCACUACAGAAGUGCACACUGCCACCUUAUGGACAUCUUGAGAAGUUACACUUAAACGUUAUUAAUUAUA
This 819-nucleotide small RNA is filed under the name Pongo abelii (Sumatran orangutan). RNAcentral's name for it is "processed transcript". The record is from RNAcentral. Lineage: Eukaryota; Metazoa; Chordata; Mammalia; Primates; Hominidae.